GACUCUGUGGCGCAAUGGAUAGCGCAUUGGACUUCUAAUUCAAAGGUUGUGGGUUCGAGUCCCACCAGAGUCA
This is a non-coding RNA of Clarias gariepinus (North African catfish), 73 nucleotides long. Lineage: Eukaryota; Metazoa; Chordata; Actinopteri; Siluriformes; Clariidae. The record is from the annotation of a RefSeq genome assembly.